This 3674-nucleotide long non-coding RNA is filed under the name Lactuca sativa (garden lettuce). RNAcentral describes it as "long non-coding RNA (LSAT_LNC001784)". The record is from RNAcentral. Lineage: Eukaryota; Viridiplantae; Streptophyta; Magnoliopsida; Asterales; Asteraceae.
CUCCAUGGUUAAAAGGCAGACCGCCAUUUUUUUUGGUGAAAUCAAAUUGGCUCAAAAGGAACAGAACAGAGAACUCUUCUUUUCAUCCUCACCGCCACUUCUCCAACCCUCUCUCCUUCUCUCCUCAACCCGAUGAUCACUGGAGCACCACUGUCAAACCUUUUCACCAACAUUCCUUAAACACCAAAUUUUUCUUAUAUGAAUCAACCGUAUAUAAACCUCUAACCAAAUACCAAGGCUUUAUCUUCUAACAAAUCAGAUCUGAUGUAUGAUAUAUUUCGGAGGUCAAUCAGGUACGUAUGACACAUUAGAUCGGAUAUAUGGUAUAUCAAAUAUGUGUUUAUGACAUGUUGGAGCAAAUUUAUAGGGUUUCUGUUAUUCCGCCAUGAAGAACACGAACCGUAAUAAGGGAUACAUUCUUAAAUUGUUUCACUCUCCUUCAACCACUCGACCAUUUCCUCUCUAGAUUCUCAUUAGCAGGGUCUCAAAUGAUUUAUAUUUGUGAUUGUAGCUUACUAAUUCCUUUUUUUUUUUUUUUUUAAUCUUUCCAUGUGAUAACGUACACAAUCAUUACAGCAUCCUCGGAAGCAGUACUGUAUGUGUGGCUAUUGAAUUUAAGGAUAUGGGCGAUGAAGGUCCAUCAACUAUAUUCUGAUAAAAAUAAAGUGCACUAACGAGGUUAAAAUUCUUUAAAGCCGUUAAACUGAAAAAAAAAAACACUCUUCCCUUACCUUUUUCUUCAUUUGUAAAGAGAAUAAGAUUGGACUGGAACUUUUACAGGUGCGUCUCAAAUCCAAUUUCCCAUUAAUUCUUUUUAUUAGAAAUUGUAACUAAUUUGGAAGGAUGGCGGUGAUAUCGGGAAUAGGGAUGUGUUCUACAUGAUCUGUAUUUUUUUUAGUAGGGGUUUCUUCUUUGCUUUUGAUAUGUUUUUUGUGGGAUGAUGGAACAUGGCACACCAGGUGUUCGACAUAUUGUCCAUGAGGUUCUUUUGGCGCAUUAGACAUCCAAUUUCAUUUUCUUCUCUUUCUAUACAGGAGAUUCAACCAAGUCUUUGAUUGUUUAAGAUUUUUAAGUUUAUGUUCUUUUAUAUAUGUAGUAUUAAACUAAACUGUAGAUACACAUACCCCCACCUGAUGGAAAUAUGUUGACUAACGUCUUAGAUUGGAUUAACAUAUAAUUUUACAAAGACAAUGUAAUUUUUCAGGAUGUGUGUAUGUUGCUUGUUCUAGUGUUGUGACCAAUAGUUAAUUCAUAGAUGCAAUAUGAUGAAGAUGACAAUGAAAAAGAUUAUGGUCUAAGAGGGAAAGCUUGGGAGCUUGUUGAUCCCAAAAGUACCCAAACAUCCGUCUCAGUUUAGGUGAUUGUAAAACUUUUCAUUCUAAAAAAUAGAGUCCACACAUGACAGAAAUGUACUUUGUUAAUUCUAAAUACAAACAUAGAAUUUACAUUAUGAAAUUAAUUUGGUUGUUAUUGCAGUGUGGAUGAAGUACCAGUAUUGACAAGCAUGGCAAUCAGGUAAUAAAUUGUAAGCAAUUAAAUAUUAUUGUGGUUUGAAAUUGAUAUAUGAUUAUCAUAGUUUUUCGUAAUAAGAACAAUAUCAAUUUUAUUUAUAAAGACAAAAAUAAAAACAAGAAAAUAGAUAGGAAAUGAUUGAACUUUUAUUUUGUAAAGACAUCAUGCAUAAUUCUUAGAGCAUUACUGGUUAGCUUAUCAAAGGCCUUAUGUUUUGUACAUUAGCUUUUCUAAAAAAAAAAUUUUAAAAUUAAAUAAUUGAUGUCCAUGUAUAUAAAAUAUUUUAUAAAUCUUUUUCUUACAUUUCAAUGGAGUUAAAUACUUGGGGUAGAGUAUCUUUGUCCUCCUCACGUUUGAGUAACUUGGCAUGGUUUUAAAUAGUUGAUGUUCAUCUAAAUAAAAUGUUUUAUAUAUUAAGAAACCUAUUGUUCUGUGUUUUGAUUUGACUGUUAAACCUCACUAAAUUUGUCUAGACAUUAUAUUAUUACUAAUAUUCAAUCAAAUUAAAUAUAUUCCAAUAGUCGUUGAUUACUUUUAUCCAUUAUUUUAAUCAUGGGUAAAUGGCACAAAAAACACUAUUUUUACACAUAAAUUCGAUUUUGACACCGUGUUAUUUUUUGUGUCAAUUUUGACACUGUGUUUUCCAAUUCGUUACAAUUCUGACCACAUGACCGGUUAAUCAGGUUACAUGCUGACGUGGCAUGAUGAUGGUCAGUUUUGAUGACGUGGCAUGCUGACAUGAUAUGCUGACGUGUCAAAAUUGAAUUUUUUUCUCACAAAAAACACUAAGUUUUUUUUUUUUUUUUCGAUUUUGACACUAUGUUUAAUUUUUUCUUUCAACUUUGACACUAUGUUUUUUUGUUCCAAAUCGAACAUCAUUUUUCCAAUUUUGUUCAAUGUUGACAAUUUUCUAUUUGAAACCGUAAAAAUAUUUUUUUAAUACAUUUAAACCGUAUAAAUAUGUUUUUUUUUUCAUUUAAAAACCAUAGUUUUGUAUAAAUACAUUUUUUUUUACACUCAAACCAUAUUUUUAUGUAUAAAUAUGUAUUAACUAUAUAAAAAUUGUAUUUUAUAUUAAUAUGCAACUUUAAAAUGUGUUUGAAGGUUUAUAGGCGUGUAGUUGAUCAAAAUUUGGAUAUCAAGUUUGCAACCCAUCAAAUUUUUACAUCUUAUUAGAAGCUUAUGGUUAGUUUGAUUCUCAUGAUAUAACUAAUGCUUUGAAUGUAAGAAAAAAAAAACACCUUGUAUUUAAAUAAAAAUGUGGUUUUUAAACGAAAAGAAUAUGUUAUACGGUUUAAAAUGUAAUAAAAAAAAUAUAUUUGUACGGUUUCAAAUGAAAAAUAGACAAAAUUGAACAAAAUUCGAUAAAUGAUGUUCGAUUGGAACAAAAAAAACAUAGUGUCAAAAUUGAAAUAAAAAAUUAAACUUAGUGUCAAAAUCAAAAAAAAGUGAAAACUUAGUGUUUUUUGUGGAAAAAAAUCAAUUUUGACACGUCAGCAUGCCACGUCAUCAAAACUGACACGUCAUCAUGCCACGUCAGCAUGUAACCUGGUUAACCGGUCAAGUGGUCAGAAUUGUAACGAAUUGGAUAACACAGUGUCAAAAUUGACACAAAAAAUAACACGGUGUCAAAAUCGAAUUUCUGUGUAAAAAUAGUGUUUUUUGUGCCAUUUACCCUUUAAUCAUAUAUAAAACUUAUAAAUUGGAUUUUUAUGUUUUAUCAAUUUUCAAAUAUUGAAGUGUUUUUUUGCUGAUUUUGUAUUCUUGAUUUGAUUUGACUUUUGUGAUUUCGUACAUGUUUAUAGAGUUUUCCCUUUUAAACAUGCUACACAACACUGUGCAACUCGCGAAGCGUAGGUAUUUAGACAUUACUAUUAACUUGAACUUGAUUUUGUAAAAUCUCAAAUUUGGUUAUUAAGGAAACUAAAGUCUUAAACUAUUAUUUUGAUGGAAGAUAUGAGGCAAUGUUAACCAUCCGAACUCUUUGCGUAGAAGAAAAACUUAAGACGAACAAUUAUACAAAGUUUGAGGUUGAUAGUUCUUCUUUCCCAACAAGUAUUUAGUUUAGUAGGAUUAUGUUUUGAGUACUAGCACUAACAUGUAUACUUCUUACACAUCUUUGAAGAUAUUUGUAUUUUAAAUAUUAAGAAUAUUGUUGACAG